Prinia subflava (tawny-flanked prinia) is the source of this 3458-nucleotide long non-coding RNA. RefSeq lists it as uncharacterized. The transcript is spliced from 7 exons. The record is from RefSeq and is a predicted model, not a curated record. Lineage: Eukaryota; Metazoa; Chordata; Aves; Passeriformes; Cisticolidae.
UCUGGCAUCCCUAGGGGAUACAUUGAAAAGGUCAUUUUUUGUGUUUGCCUGUCCUGCUGUUUUGAAAAAUCACUUGAGCGUGUUCACCUCACUUAUACUGGUAAACCUUUUACUUCUGUAUUCAGUUUUUAUUUGUGCCUUGCUGCAGCCCAGAAGAAGUUGUCGGAGAGAUCUUCUUGAAGAUGGCAUCUCUGAGUUGUGGGACUGAAGCUAAAGGAAUCCUCGUGCUCAUGGCAGCAAACUGCUUCUACUCCCCUGAGAGCCACCAGGGAAUGUGGCAGAUUUAUGGUUUGGAGUGGCUCCUCACAGGAGAACAAAUCCAGCUCUGCAGCUGGAACUGCAGGAAAUCUACACAAGAUUCAUUUUACCUGUAACUUUCUCCCAGUAAAUAAAGAAGUCUGAGCUUUGAUGCAUUGGGCUGACAGCAUCAAGGAUCUUUAUCUACCUGCACACUUUGACCACUGGCCAGGCCAGUGUUGAUAAACAGAAGGGUAGCAAAGAUUAGGAGCAUGGGGGAAGCAGGAAUUGAAACCAAUACCUGUGAAAUACCAACAAUGUCAUUGUGGACACUGCUGCUGCCGGGUUUGAUGAGUGCCAGUUUUUCCAGGUGGCUGUGGCUGUUUUGAAGUCUGGAGGUGUUCAGAGCUUCUGCCCAUCAAAGUAAAUUGUAUUUCCAACAGUAAAUAAGUCAAUAAGUACCAAACCUUAGUCGGUUCUCCUUUCUUUGUUAAAAAACAAAGACAAGAAAAGACUGCAAGGAGGAUUCACAUCUCUUUUGUUUGCUGCAAUUUUGACAAGAUGACAAUUUUCCACGAUUACAUGGUUUUCUGGAAGUCUACAUUGUCAAUAUGGAUAAGCAAGUCUAUUUUCUGCUUCUGAAAAAAAGGCCAUGGCUGCUCCUGGUGAUGCAGAAUAUUUCAGCCUGGUUUGGGACUGGAACUUGACACAGCCAUCUGCACUACAAUGGUGAGGGGUUCCCUUAUUGAAAAAGAAAUAUUUCCAACUCUUCAGAGCAGCUGUGUGAGUGUUAAUAAUUUAUACCCAGAGACAUUUGCAAAUACUCCAUCCUUGUGAGAGGGACCUCUGAGAAGUGAUGCAGCCUCCUUGCCCAUGGGUGUCAGAGUCUAUUGACAACUACCAUUUAAAAAACCCAAAACAACCAAACAAAACUCAAAACAACCUCAUUUAACAUGACAGGAGCACCAAAAGACAAAUGCUGCUUUGGGGGAAAUACAACGUGCAACACUGGAGUCUCUGAGCUCCACUGUUCUCAUUAUGGGUUUAAUUUUGCAGAGAGCAUAAAGGCAGGUACACCAAAAUGCCAAGAAGCCUCUUUUAAUUAAAGCCUCUUUCAAUUAAAGCCUCUUCCUCUUUUUCUUCUUAAGAUUUGCAUAUGUAUUGAGCCAUUGAAGAAAAAGAUGAAAGGAACCACAAACACUGUUUGUACUGGCCCCUUAACAGCUGGAAGGAACCUGAAGACAUCUAAUGGAAGAUCAAUAAGUGAGAGCUCCAACCUGAACCCCAAGAAAGGUUUUUCAUAUAAAAGAACUGUUGAAGUUUUCUGAGAGGGAUGAAUCAAUUACUUAGCACACCAAAGUAAAGACUUGGCGACGUUGCCAUGGGACUGCAGGUAAGGAUUUUGUUUACUUCAGAUAAAGAUAACAGAACCUCAGUGCUUCAGUUUGCAAAUGCUCACUCUGGCUCCUAAUGUAGCUGAAAUGCUUGAAAGUUCAGCCCCUAAAGCUAAAGGAUUCUGGUUUGUGAACAGGCACUCGCUCUCUCUUUCACACUUGGACUGAUUCUACAUUCCUAAUAGGACUAAAAGUGGCAAAACCUCUAUUUUUCUUUUUAUUUGUACAUUUUUUUUUCUUUUUUAUCAAAGAUGACAAUGAGUAGGUUGGGAACAAGUGUGUCACAGAGGGCUGCUGCAAGACCCCCCUGCCCAGAGCACACGGUGAGUUUCCAGUGCAGGGUGUCCAGCUGAUGCACAGCAACACACGUGAGCAUGAGGACAAAAAAAAUACAGACAUUAAUUCUGGGCAGGGAAAUGAGGUUUUACCACCUAGAAUACAGAAGCAGAGAAAACAAACAACAGCCCAAAUAAAUUGUACAUCUGAAUGUGAUGCUCUUUGCUUGUUGGGUAAAAGUGAAAGUUUAAAAAAAAAAUUACUUUGGUAUAACGCCUUUAAGUGAAUACUUUUAAUAGAAGUCCUAAUUUGGAACUUUUCUCUGUUCACAGGGAUAUUCAGAUCUCCCUCUUCAGCCUGUUCCACCAUCUGUGUGGCUGCUUGUAUCUCUCCAAAGUGCUAGCUAGUGAGAUUUACUCACUUUCCUACAUCUGUGGCAAUUCACUUCUGAUAGCCUUUUGCAGUCACUUCCUCACAAACAACCACCUGAAGUACAGAGCAGUGGAGAGUAAAGCUGUAAGGAAAUGCUCCAAGAGGACUGUUCCUCAAAGGAGAACUCUACUAAUUUGUCACCCCAGCCCUUGGCUGUGGUUCCACAUGUUGACACCCUGAGCUGCCUAAAGGGAUGCUGCACCACUGGUGGGAGACCAGCACAAUCUGAGUGAAAAUGUCCUAAUUUCAAUUCUUGUCUCUUUUAGCAGUCAACAAAUGCAACAGGAGGCAAAACUUGGCAGCUGGCUUGAAUGAGAUGAUGAGGGAGAAGGAAAAACUGGAUGCCUUUUAUCCUAGGCAAAAUCUGAUAAAAUGGGCUUCCCCUUCAAUAUGGCAGAUAAAAGUGACAAAAAAUCUGCACUUCUUUAAGCCCCAGAGUGCUCCAAGCAGCAUCUGGAAGUUUAAAAGCUGAAAAUUAUGGCCUUUUGAUAUGAUAGAUGCCAUUCAGAUCUGAUUUACAUUUGGGCUUAGACUUUAAAUACUUGCCAUCCCAAGGAUUCAGUUCUUAGGUAUAAAAUAAGAGGAGCUAUUUGAGCUAUUUGAAUUGAAAAAAAAAAGACAAAAAAAAGAAAAGAAAAAAAAAAAAAAAGACAAAAAAAAGGCAGCUAAGAACUAUCCAUAACUAAAUCAAUAGUAAUAUGGUUUGGUUUUUUUUUUUCAGUUUGAUUUUCCAACAUAUUUACUCCCAUUUCCCCAAGCUUUGAGGGGGAAAUGCUGAAAUGCUGCUGGACUAGAUGAUUAUGUCUGGACAAUUCUGCAGUUUCAGAGGAGCUGGAAGAGCAGCUGAACUUCAGCUCUCCUGAAAUGUGUGCUUAGCUGGCUAAACCCUCCAGGAAAUAGACCUUUCCUCUGUUUUUUGCAUACCUUGCUAAGAACAUCAACACUCAUGGAUUUGACAAAAAUAACAAGGAAGGAGUGAAAUCACACAAUGAGAGCUGGUGGAGGUGUCAGGUGAACUUCCUGAUUGAACACAGCAGCCUCUGCACAUUUUCAUUCCUGGAGAACAGCAGCAGUGGUGGCUGUUGAUGGGCUGAGGCUGAAUCUUGCUCUCCAGUGGUG